Molecule: unclassified non-coding RNA, 336 nt
Filed under: soil metagenome
Description: partial contains 5.8S ribosomal RNA, internal transcribed spacer 2, and large subunit ribosomal RNA
Rfam family: 5.8S ribosomal RNA (bases 1-120)
Source: RNAcentral
GAUGAAGAACGCAGCGAAAUGCGAUAAGUAAUGUGAAUUGCAGAAUUCAGUGAAUCAUCGAAUCUUUGAACGCACAUUGCGCCCGCCAGUAUUCUGGCGGGCAUGCCUGUUCGAGCGUCAUUUCAACCAUCAAGCCCCAGGCUUGUGUUGGGGACCUGCGGCUGCCGCAGGCCCUGAAAACCAGUGGCGGGCUCGCUGUCACACCGGGCGUAGUAGAUUUUAUCUCGCUCAGGGCGUGCUGCGGGUUCCGGCCGUUAAAAAGCCUGUUUUACCCAAGGUUGACCUCGGAUCAGGUAGGAAGACCCGCUGAACUUAAGCAUAUCAAUAAGCGGAGGA